RNAcentral lists this ribosomal RNA (253 nucleotides) under uncultured bacterium. RNAcentral's name for it is "partial 16S ribosomal RNA". It matches the Rfam family "Bacterial small subunit ribosomal RNA", at positions 524 to 776 of the family's 1533-position model. The record is from RNAcentral.
UCCGUAGGGUGCGAGCGUUAAUCGGAAUUACUGGGCGUAAAGCGCGUGUAGGUGGUGGGACAAGUCUGCUGUGAAAGCGCCUGGCUUAACCGGGCGAGGUCGGCGGAAACUGUCCGACUAGAGGACGGUAGAGGGGGGUGGAAUUCCCGGUGUAGUGGUGAAAUGCGUAGAGAUCGGGAGGAACACCUGUGGCGAAGGCGGCCCCCUGGGCCGGCCCUGACACUGAGACGCGAAGGCGUGGGGAGCGAACGGG